RNAcentral lists this ribosomal RNA (274 nucleotides) under uncultured bacterium. RNAcentral describes it as "partial 16S ribosomal RNA". It matches the Rfam family "Bacterial small subunit ribosomal RNA", at positions 523 to 796 of the family's 1533-position model. The record is from RNAcentral.
AUACGGAGGGUGCAAGCGUUACUCGGAAUCACUGGGCGUAAAGCGCGCGCAGGCGGCUUGAUAAGUUGGAUGGGAAAGCCUACGGCUCAACCGUAGAACUGCAUCCAAAACUGUCAAGCUAGAGUCUGGGAGGGGAAGAUGGAAUUAGUUGUGUAGGGGUAAAAUCCGUAGAGAUAACUAGGAAUACCAAAAGCGAAGGCGAUCUUCUGGAACAGUACUGACGCUGAGGCGCGAAAGCGUGGGGAGCAAACAGGAUUAGAAACCCUAGUAGUCC